GACGAACGCUGGCGGCGUGCCUAAUACAUGCAAUUUGAGCGAUGAAGAUUGGUGCUUGCACCCAUUUGAAGAGCAGCGAACGGGUGAUUACCGCUUGGGGACUCUGCUUUUGAGCGGGGGACAACAUUUGGAACCGAAUGCUAUUACCGCAUAACAACUUUAAACAUAAGUUUUAAGUUUGAAAGAUGCCAUUGCAUCACUCAAAGAUGAUCCCGCGUUGUAUUAGCUAGUUGGUGAGGUAAAGGCUCACCAAGGCGAUGAUACAUAGCCGACCUGAGAGGGGGAUCGGCCAAAAUGGGACUGAGAAACGGCCCAAACUCCUACGGGAGGCAGCAGUAGGGAAUCUUCGGCAAUGGAGGAAAGUCUGACCGAGGAACGCCGCGUGAGUGAAGAAGGGUUUCGGAUCGUAAAACUCUGUUGGUAGAGAAGAACGUUGGUGGGAGGGGAAAGCGCAUAAAGUGACGGUAACUACCCAGAAAGGGACGGCUAACUACGUG
This 497-nucleotide ribosomal RNA is filed under the name uncultured bacterium. RNAcentral's name for it is "partial 16S ribosomal RNA". It matches the Rfam family "Bacterial small subunit ribosomal RNA", at positions 28 to 507 of the family's 1533-position model. The record is from RNAcentral.